This 442-nucleotide ribosomal RNA is filed under the name uncultured bacterium. Its description in RNAcentral is "partial 16S ribosomal RNA". It matches the Rfam family "Bacterial small subunit ribosomal RNA", at positions 338 to 795 of the family's 1533-position model. The record is from RNAcentral.
CCUACGGGAGGCUGCAGUGGGGAAUAUUGGGCAAUGGGCGCAAGCCUGACCCAGCAAUGCCGCGUGAAGGAAGAAGGCUUUCGGGUUGUAAACUUCUUUGACAGGGGAAGAGCAGAAGACGGUACCCUGAAAACAAGCCACGGCUAACUACGUGCCAGCUGCCGCGGUAAUACGUAGGUGGCAAGCGUUGUCCGGAUUUACUGGGUGUAAAGGGCGUGUAGCCGGGAAGGCAAGUCAGAGGUGAAAUCUGGAGGCUCAACCUCCAAAUUGCAUUUGAAACUGGUUUUCUUGAGUACUGGAGAGGCAGACGGAAUUCCAUGUGUAGCGGUGAAAUGCGUAGAUAUAAGGAGGAACACCAGUGGCGAAGGCGGUCUGCUGGACAGCAACUGACGGUGAGGCGCGAAAGCGUGGGGAGCAAACAGGAUUAGAUACCCCUGUAGUC